GUUGGAUUUUAGUCACGUAGUGAAAAAUAAUUUUCAAAAAAUUUAAAAUAAGCAAAUCAAUAGCUUUAUCAAAUAAAACUAUCGAGCCGAAUCCAAAAUCCUAGAAUCACUUUGUCGAUCACGAUCAAAGCAAAUUCAAGCAUGCAAAGAGAUAGAAAAUUAUACUUUAACCAAUAUUAAAAAGUGGCACAUUGAUGUUUUUUACAAGACCCCAAAGUAGAAGUCCUCCAACGGUGAUCCACACGGAAGUUGGUCCAAGUUCUUCCCAACCGGUGCACUGCUGCAGUCUUAUUUUCUCAAGAACACUGACGACUUCGAACUUGCGUCACGAUUGCACCAAAGUCCAAUUACUUUCGAUCUCACCACUAGAACGAUAUCAAGAAGACAUUCUUCAGAUGUCACACAACCUAGGAUUUAAUUUUUAGCUCCAAUAUAUGAAAAAAUCAAAUCCUAGGGUACUCAAGCAACACUUGCUGAAAAUCUCACCACCCUUGUAGCAACUUUUGCCACUCAAAAUUUUUUUUUUCUCAAAAUUUUUUCAGAAUUUUUCUUAUGUUUACCACACCCCUCUUCUUGGUCUCAACCAAAAAUCACCACAAGAAGCCAUGUGGGGCAUCCCCUAUAAAUAGGGGACCAGGGGACGUCACAUGGGAUGAAGGGG
RNAcentral lists this long non-coding RNA (661 nucleotides) under Elaeis guineensis (African oil palm). RNAcentral's name for it is "long non-coding RNA (EGUI_LNC044664)". Lineage: Eukaryota; Viridiplantae; Streptophyta; Magnoliopsida; Arecales; Arecaceae. The record is from RNAcentral.